UGUCCUGCAGGUUCACCUGGAUUGGGGCAAGCUACAAAGUCCUCUGCAAAGAUAGCAAGAGAAGCCUCCAGGCAUCCUGUUUAUCUAUGGAGGGGUGACUUCCCUGGUGGGAUUUUGCUUGAACAGAGCAGCACCAGGAGGAGAUCAGGUAGACCUUUCCUUAAACACCUUGGAGCAAACCCACAUGCUGAUGCUGGCCCCUACCUGGUCCUCCUCAGGAGUAGGGGGAAGAGGCUUCUUCGUUUUGCGAUGUGACCGCCCAACUUUUAAACCUUCAGAAGAAAAAAGGGACUAAGGCUAGAGGGACAACUGGAUGUGCACCACCGCAGCGCAGUGCUGGCCCACAGCAGCUCCGUAGGGUGCAGAGCCCCUUCUCUGGUGGGGCAGAAUGACAGCAUCUCGGCAGCAAAAGGCCAGCGUUUGCUCUCCCCUUUUCCCUGUGGAUUUUACACUGGCUUCAGCCACCACAGCAAUCCCCCUCCCGUAGCAAAGAGGCAGAGAUGGACGCUGGUAUCCUGCUGCUCAGCUGCUGGCAUCUUCCCUGGGACCCACAGCCUUUGGCAUCCCCCUGCUCCCCCUGCCCUGCAUCAUGCUGGAC
Molecule: long non-coding RNA, 598 nt
Organism: Tyto alba (common barn owl)
Lineage: Eukaryota; Metazoa; Chordata; Aves; Strigiformes; Tytonidae
Exons: 4
Source: RefSeq, a predicted model, not a curated record